CCCCCGUGCCUGCCGGACCCGCGGCAGCGGCAGCCCGGCCAGGCCUGGCGUGAUCAGCAGUAGCUUGAAGCUUGGGACGAUCUGCUGGCGCUGCAACCGAGCCUUCCCUGCGGGAUGACUAGGAACUGCUUCCCGGCUCGACCUCUUCAGUUUCCUUGGAAGAUCAUACCAGGAGGCUCCCUAUUGUCUUCACAGGAAGCAUUGGGCAGCGCACUCUAUGCCCCCGGACAUCAGCCCUCUGUGACCUGGAACAGGUGAAUGCAGAAGGAGAAAUUAGCACAGAGGAAGCAGGGACACUCUGCUGCCAUUUGGAGGGACACAGCCAAGGUUGGCAAGGACACUUUGUACCAGACCAGCCAGCUCCAUCCACAACAGCACUGGGCAGUUCUCAGACAAAUGUAUUUAGUUCCAUGAAAUACCAAAUCCAUCAUCAUCGUCAAUAUGUGCUGCUAACCUUCACUGCACGCUCCCAGCCUGUUUGAUUCCCCAUCCCCUUUGCCCAAGGCACAAGUAACUCAUGGUCAGAACACUGCGGUACAGAAGCUAAGGGAACUCAAAUGCUUUGGACAGGCAGGGACAGUUUGUGUAGCAGCAACUACAAUAUUGAAAGCUGUACAAGCAUCUUGUGUUUCACACCGUGAUCCUGAUCCUGCUUUAAUAUAGUCACUACAUUGCCAUUCAAGAAGUACACCACCCAAAGGCUAGAGAGACAUUUCUGAGACAGGGCCCCCUGAUGCUUCCCUCAAUGAUAUCCUUCUACAUAACCCAAGGGACCAUAGAUCUGCUCAGAAGCAAACUGCAAGCGUCAAUUCUACCUCUUCUCUGAAUAGAAAUUCAUGGAACCUGCAGAAGUACCUCCUACUGAUCCCAUUGCUGACUUUCCUUGGGCCUGGAACAACAACUCUCUGCUCUUACCAAUGAUGCUGCCUCCUCUAGUCCCCACCAACUUGUUCUCAUUGAAACCCAACCCACACUGAUCCACAAUCUUCACACAGGCCACCCAUGAGUGAAGCAGACUGCAGGUACUAUCCACUCUUCUAUAGGGAUUCUUUUGUGCCUAGUAAGGUCUUAGUUUGGACAAAGCUUUCCCUGCAGGGUUUCCAGGGUCUCUUGCCUUGUGGAUUUUCUGAUGCCUAGUAGGUAGUCACUACUGCUGAGGCUUUUCCCACAGCCAGUUUCACAGUUUCUGUCCUCUGGAUUACACAAUGUGCAACAAGGAAACUGCUUCAAGCAUCACCUUCUACAUUCAGGGCAUGUGUGUAGUUUCUCUGUAGGAAUUAGAUGAUGGGCACUAAGCUAAUCCCUCUUUGUAAAGCUUUUUCUCAAGUCAGGGCAUACAUGUGGUAUCUCCCUGAGUGC
Long non-coding RNA from Alligator sinensis (Chinese alligator), 1359 nucleotides. RefSeq lists it as uncharacterized. Lineage: Eukaryota; Metazoa; Chordata; Crocodylia; Alligatoridae. The record is from RefSeq and is a predicted model, not a curated record. The transcript is spliced from 3 exons.